GUGAGUCAUCGAAUCUUUGAACGCACAUUGCGCCCUCCGGUAUUCCGGAGGGCAUGCCUGUUCGAGCGUCAUUACAACCCUCAAGCCCCCGGCUUGGUAUUGGGCAUCGCCGGUGACGGCGUGCCUUAAAAUCAGUGGCGGUGCCAUCUGGCUCUAAGCGUAGUAACACUCUCGCUCUGGGUGCCCGGUGGCCGCUGGCCAGCAACCCCAUCUUUUAUGGUUGACCUCGGAUCAGGUAGGGAUACCCGCUGAACUUAAGCAUAUCAAUAAGCGGAGGA
RNAcentral lists this unclassified non-coding RNA (278 nucleotides) under Helotiales sp. RNAcentral describes it as "partial contains 5.8S ribosomal RNA, internal transcribed spacer 2, and large subunit ribosomal RNA". The stretch from base 1 to 71 matches the Rfam family "5.8S ribosomal RNA", at positions 84 to 154 of the family's 154-position model. Lineage: Eukaryota; Fungi; Ascomycota; Leotiomycetes; Helotiales. The record is from RNAcentral.